GCUCGGGUGGUGAAAUUGGUAGACACGCAAGGUUGAGGGCCUUGUGGGCGUUAUAGCCCGUGUGGGUUCGAAUCCCACCCCGAGCACCA
This 89-nucleotide transfer RNA is filed under the name Pontiella sulfatireligans. Its description in RNAcentral is "tRNA-Leu(gag)". It matches the Rfam family "tRNA". Rfam says of the family: Transfer RNA (tRNA) molecules are approximately 80 nucleotides in length. Their secondary structure includes four short double-helical elements and three loops (D, anti-codon, and T loops). Further hydrogen bonds mediate the characteristic L-shaped molecular structure. tRNAs have two regions of fundamental functional importance: the anti-codon, which is responsible for specific mRNA codon recognition, and the 3' end, to which the tRNAs corresponding amino acid is attached (by aminoacyl-tRNA synthetases). tRNAs cope with the degeneracy of the genetic code in two manners: having more than one tRNA (with a specific anti-codon) for a particular amino acid; and 'wobble' base-pairing, i.e. permitting non-standard base-pairing at the 3rd anti-codon position. RNAcentral also lists the same sequence under 1 other name. Lineage: Bacteria; Pseudomonadati; Kiritimatiellota; Kiritimatiellia; Kiritimatiellales; Pontiellaceae. The record is from RNAcentral.